UACGGAGGGUGCAAGCGUUAUCCGGAUUUACUGGGUUUAAAGGGUGCGUAGGCGGGCUAUUAAGUCAGUGGUGAAAUCCCGGGGCUCAACCUCGGAACUGCCAAUGAUACUAUUAGCCUUGAAUUAUGUUGAGGUUGGCGGAAUAUAACAUGUAGCGGUGAAAUGCUUAGAUAUGUUAUGGAACACCGAUUGCGAAGGCAGCUGGCUAAACAUAUAUUGACGCUGAUGCACGAAAGUGUGGGUAGCGAACAGG
Molecule: ribosomal RNA, 253 nt
Filed under: uncultured bacterium
Lineage: Bacteria
Description: partial 16S ribosomal RNA
Rfam family: Bacterial small subunit ribosomal RNA
Source: RNAcentral